Long non-coding RNA from Bubalus bubalis (water buffalo), 3286 nucleotides. RefSeq lists it as uncharacterized. NCBI's taxonomy places the organism in Eukaryota, Metazoa, Chordata, Mammalia, Artiodactyla, Bovidae. The record is from RefSeq and is a predicted model, not a curated record. The transcript is spliced from 3 exons.
UUGUGGGGACCACUGCAUAGGGGAAGGCCUUUUAAAUGCAGGCCUGCUUCCUUCUCCUCUCCAGCCAUUUCCCCAUACAAAAGCUUCCUCUAGCCCUGUGAUGGGUUCCGUUUCCUUCGAACUGCUUCCACCAGAAAAACUGCCCUUUACAGUGUCGAAAUUUCAUUUUAAUCAGGUUAAAACCGAAAACCCACUUAUUAUUUUAAGGCCUCGUGUUGCUAUUAACAGGCAGUUUAGAAGAGAUGCUUCAAGCAAUGGUAUACAAUGUGUCUCAAUGCACCAGGAGCACUAUGGUUUCACAUGUAGUGUUAAUUCUGUCCGAGACAAAUCCCAUAAUCUGUGCCGUUUCAGAGCCUAAUACGGAAAAACAUCGGGGUGGGUUUUGUUUGGGGUUUUGCUCUCUCCAUCCCAGGGGAACGUCCCAGGGGCUCCCCGUCUUUUAUAUCAUGCUAACCUAAGGGCGCAAAUGGGGCGACUGGAGGAAUCAGGUUUUAUCAGGGCACGCUGCGCUGACAGGGUUCUGGCCGUUGAAGAGAAGAAAAAGAAGUGUUCAAGACUUUGGUCGCAGAUCUGGGCAUGCAGAUGCGUGACGGGGGGCGUGGACCCUUUGUGGUACCAGACAGCUGUUCUACGUAAAGGUUUUGGAGGAAGGCGUGAAGCAAGCCGGGGUCAGGGCUGAAACUGACCCUGCAUCUCCGCAUUUUAGUUAUUUUCUAAGACUUCAGCUUCCAUUUGUGUGGGAUGCGCCUGUCUCCGGCCUGAUUCCUUUGUGUUUCUCCUUUGCAUGAUUAAAACACGCCUCUGUACGCAAUAAAUCACCAUCUCACACUGGAACGCCUGGUUUUGGGUUACAGCUUUGUCCGGUUAACAACAGUGAGGUUUUCAAGCGGGUGUUAGACGCGGGUUCAAACCUGCGGUGCGCGCGCCGGGGCCGAUCGCCCGAGCGCCGGCUUCUGGUUAAGUGGAGGCGGGAGCAGCUCUGCGGCCCUGCGCUGCAGGUAACCGGAACGGGCCACCCGGAGCUGUCCGGGACGCCAGAGGCAAGGUUUUCUUCUCCCAGAACUGGCCUCUGGCCUUAAGAGCAGUUGAGUCCUGCGCCGGGUCUAAAAACGAAGUCAGGAUAUCUGGUUUAAAGAGGAAAUCUAGAGACGUCGGAGAAAAGGGUUGCGCCAAGGGUAACCGUGAGUCCCACAGGCUCCCCCCGAAAGGCUCAGCUCAGAGCCGAGGAGCCCCAGGCAGGGCAGAACUCACCCAGACCCACUAGCCCAAGCCCCAGACUUUCCUGAAGGAUCCCUGGGGCCCCAGGCAGGCUCAGCUGGACCCCACCUCGGCGCCACGUCUGCUCAGGACACCGGAGGCCCAAGGCGCGGCGGGAGACCCCGCUGUGGCGGCGGCGGCUGCCUCGCCCUUCACCGCCUGUGGGAGACCCAGCCGUCUGCGGUGCUUCCUCCCAGGGAGGGGGCGAGGACGGCAAGAGGCCGAGGGCCCCGCCGCGCCGUCUUCUCCUCUCUGGCCCCCUCUCCCGGGCCCCUCAGGCCCAGAUCGCCCUCUUCUCCUUCGGCCUUGGCUUCCGUUCCUUCUAGCUCCGGGCGUUCGUCUCCUGGCCUGGCCACACACACGCACCCGAAGUCCGUCCGCCCCCCGAACUCAGCCAGGCAGUGAAGUCACGGGCCAGGUGCGCCCAGGCCCACGGCUGACCCCGAAGGGCUCAAGGAGCGCUCCUCCCGGCGCCGGCGGUACACGAGUCUCCCCGCAACCCACAGCGCCCGAAGCCGCGAGGGAGGCCUGAGGACCGGGUCGUGAGGUGGGCUGCGGCUCGGCCGAGGUUGCGACCAGAGCCGGAGCCAGCCCAGAAAGAGGGGACGCUGGAGGACGAGCACCCCAAAGGCCGCCCCAGUCCGGCCUGCAGAGCCGAGCGGGGCCCAGAGGGCGGCGCCAGCCUGGAUAGCCACUUGGGCCGCGGGCCCCCGGGGCAGAGAUGGGAGUGCUCUUCCCGGGUAACUCCGAUCCGGGCAUCGAGACUUAGAAACCGCAACCCUAAAAACUCGCCGUGGACUCGGUUCCAGUGCCGCCUCGCCGCCAAGUCCUCGGAGUCCCGCGCGGGCCUCCGGGGCUGAGGGUGGGCAGAGCCGCAGGAAAGGCGAGAUUAGAGAGAAGCGAUGGGGGUGGGGUGGGGUGGGGUGGAGGAAACUGACCAUUAUCUCAAACUCCGACGUUUCGAAAGCCGGAACUUAAUUGGCUUGAUUGGAUUUCUCUUAUCUUUGAAGGGGCGAAACACUCCCAAGGUGAAAUACAAAGGGCCCAGAAUCUUUGCGGGAAAGAUAAAGGUUUGGGACAACAGAUCUUUAUAAAGCAAACUAGCCCACCCUCACCUGCACCCCUCAAAACGAAGAUUACAUCAACGUUCAAGUCUUUGUUGGUCUCCAGACAGUUGAAAUAGCUCCCUGACGCCUGUGGAGGGUGGCAUCAUUUCGGUACCAACUUUAUUAAGCCGGGUCUUGGCUGGGCGCAGUGACCAGAACUCUGCACGAAGGAGCCCGCGCUAGCUGCCCGCCUCCCAGACCCUCCCUCUCUUGCCUGUGGUCAUGAGGAAUUCACUGCUACUUCACCGUCAAUUCAAAGGGAUUUAACUCCGUGGUCUGUUAAACGGAGUUGUGCAAAGGUAGCAACCGCUAAUAUGAAGACUGGUUCCAUCACUUUUUGUCUCUCCUAGAAAGAUUCAUAAAAGAAAGCUCUCAGGAGAAAUGAUCCUGUUGAGGAAGGUCUGAAAGCCACUAUUUGCCAAAACCUUCCUUAUGAUCUGAUCGGAAAGGAAAACACUUCACACCCCGGAAAAAUCACACCUCUAGGGAUUACAGAUGAAGGGCCUGGAGGUCAGAGGAGAUGCCGCAGGUUUGGCGGGGAAAAUUUAUGAGGACCUCGACUUCGCCAAGAGGGCACUUCCCGAGGAACUGGACUUCGAGGUACGGGCAGGGGAGUUUCGCCCAAAUGACAAGGGCAGUAGCCUUCUUUGCCCCAGUCCAAUAUGUGUCCCCAUUCACUCCAAUUAAAAAGAUACGAUUUAAUGAAAACGUUGUAGAUCCAUGUACAACCUUUUCCCAAGUCCCUGCCCUCUCCUCCACCAAUAAAUGCCCUGUGGCUUUGAGCUGCUGCUUGGAAGAAAAACCCAGCGGGGACCUCUCCUGGAGCUGGGGCGGGGGCGACGCGACCCUCUACCCGGUGCUCCGGAGGAAAGGGUGUUAUAACCCCGCGAAGCGGCCGUGGGGAAGGAGAGGGCAAGAGUGCA